GACGACGCUGGCGGCGUGCUUAACACAUGCAAGUCGAGCGCGAACGGGGGGCAACCCCCUAGUAGAGCGGCGGCACGGGUGAGUAUCGCGUGGGUAAUCAACCCUCAGGUGGGGUAUAACACUUCGAAAGGAGUGCUAAUCCCGCAUGAGACCACAGGAACCUUGGUUCCAGGGGUCAAAGAGGCGGAGUAAUCCGACUCGCCUGAGGACGAGCCCGCGUCCCAUUAGCUAGUUGGUGAGGUAACGGCCCACCAAGGCUACGAUGGGUAGCUGGUCUGAGAGGACGACCAGCCACACUGGGACUGAGACACGGCCCAGACUCCUACGGGAGGCAGCAGUGGGGAAUAUUGGACAAUGGGGGCAACCCUGAUCCAGCCAUGCCGCGUGAGUGAAGAAGGCCUUCGGGUUGUAAAGCUCUUUCGGCCGGGAAAAAAUCGCAUCAGUUAAUACCUGGUGUGGAUGAUGGUACCGGAAUAAGAAGCACCGGCUAACUACGUG
Molecule: ribosomal RNA, 498 nt
Filed under: uncultured bacterium
Lineage: Bacteria
Description: bacterial SSU rRNA
Rfam family: Bacterial small subunit ribosomal RNA
Source: RNAcentral